GUUUGAUAUGGCUCAGGACGAACGCUGGCGGCGUGCCUAACACAUGCAAGUCGAGCGGGGACAUUGCGACAGAUAUGAAGUCUUCGGAUGAAUUGAAGAUGUAAUGUCUAGCGGCGGACGGGUGAGUAACGCGUGAGCAACCUGUCCCUUACAGGGGGAUAACACAGCGAAAGUUGUACUAAUACCGCAUAAGACCACAGAGUGACAUCACUUAGGGGUCAAAGGAGCAAUCCGGUAAGGGGUGGGCUCGCGUCCGAUUAGAUAGUUGGUGAGGUAACGGCCCACCAAGUCGACGAUCGGUAGCCGACCUGAGAGGGUGAUCGGCCACAUUGGGACUGAGACACGGCCCAAACUCCUACGGGAGGCAGCAGUGGGGAAUAUUGGGCAAAUGGGGGAAACCCUGACCCAGCAACGCCGCGUGAGGGAAGAAGGUUUUCGGAUCGUAAACCUCUGUCCUUGGUGAAGAGAAAGAGACGGUAGCCAAGGAGGAAGCCCCGGCUAACUACGUGCCAGCCGCAGC
This 520-nucleotide ribosomal RNA is filed under the name uncultured bacterium. RNAcentral describes it as "bacterial SSU rRNA". It matches the Rfam family "Bacterial small subunit ribosomal RNA", at positions 11 to 518 of the family's 1533-position model. The record is from RNAcentral.